RNAcentral lists this transfer RNA (69 nucleotides) under Henicorhina leucosticta. RNAcentral's name for it is "tRNA-Pro". It matches the Rfam family "tRNA". Rfam says of the family: Transfer RNA (tRNA) molecules are approximately 80 nucleotides in length. The record is from RNAcentral. Lineage: Eukaryota; Metazoa; Chordata; Aves; Passeriformes; Certhiidae.
CAGAAAGUAGUUUAAUUAAAAUGCCAGCUUUGGGAGUUGGUGUUGAAGGUUUAAUUCCUUUCUUUCUGA